CCCACCUCCACCUUAAAGGCAAUCAUCCUACAAGUACCCUACACAAAACAUAAGGGACAAUACAUUGUACUAGGAUUAUAAUUUGCAGUCUACUGAUGCUCUCUGCCAGCAGCGGUAUCAUCUCUGUGGGGCUGGUCAUUACAGAGAUAUGGCAUCUCUAUGACAAGAUUAGGUUAACUGUGUGAGAAGAAUAAGACUUGUGCCUGUCCAUCAUCAGGAAGUUGAGCACGAUAUUUGGGGAACAUGCACACACAGAGGAAAACAGAGAUGAUUGCAGAAUCCGUCGCUCUUCUGUGUCUGGUCAAUGGCUAAAGGGAGGAAGCCACUCGCCCGUUAUGACUUAGACAAGACUGUCCACUCUUCCUCGUGAAUCCCACACGACUCAGGAUCACUCCCCUUGUGUACCUGCCUCUAUAAAACCCAAGCCCCUCCUUUUGAGCCCUUCCUCAUUAACAACUGUUCUCCUUCUUGCAAUGGCCUGGAUAAAAUAUCUCCUCAACUGUCCAGGGCAUUUUGUUUUUGACACAAUAAAUAUAAUGAACAAG
Long non-coding RNA from Eptesicus fuscus (big brown bat), 545 nucleotides. RefSeq lists it as uncharacterized. The record is from RefSeq and is a predicted model, not a curated record. Lineage: Eukaryota; Metazoa; Chordata; Mammalia; Chiroptera; Vespertilionidae. The transcript has 2 exons.